RNAcentral lists this transfer RNA (86 nucleotides) under Bifidobacteriaceae bacterium MCC01943. Its description in RNAcentral is "tRNA-Ser". It matches the Rfam family "tRNA". From Rfam's summary of the family: Transfer RNA (tRNA) molecules are approximately 80 nucleotides in length. The record is from RNAcentral. Lineage: Bacteria; Bacillati; Actinomycetota; Actinomycetes; Bifidobacteriales; Bifidobacteriaceae. RNAcentral also lists the same sequence under 3 other names.
GGAAUGUUGGCAGAGUGGUUUAAUGCAACUGUCCCGAAAGCAGUCGCACUGUGAAGUGCCGGAGGUUCGAAUCCUUCACAUUCCGC